UACAGAGGUCUCAACCGUUGUUCGGAUUCAUUGGGCGUAAAGGGUGCGUAGGCGGUCGUGCAAGUCGGAUGUGAAAUCUCAGGGCUCAACCCUGAAACUGCAUUCGAUACUGCGUGGCUAGAGUGCUGGAGAGGAGACUGGAAUUUACGGUGUAGCAGUGAAAUGCGCAGAUAUCAGGAGGAACACCGGUGGCGAAGGCGGGUCUCUGGGCCGUAACUGACGCUGAGGAGCGAAAGCGUGGGGAGCGAACAGG
Molecule: ribosomal RNA, 253 nt
Filed under: uncultured bacterium
Lineage: Bacteria
Description: partial 16S ribosomal RNA
Rfam family: Bacterial small subunit ribosomal RNA
Source: RNAcentral